UGGAGGAUGACUGCCAGGGAAUUCGUC
RNAcentral lists this non-coding RNA (27 nucleotides) under Homo sapiens (human). Lineage: Eukaryota; Metazoa; Chordata; Mammalia; Primates; Hominidae. The record is from RNAcentral.